UUGAAGAGAUUCUAGCUGAAGACGUGGA
Molecule: small RNA, 28 nt
Filed under: Arabidopsis thaliana (thale cress)
Lineage: Eukaryota; Viridiplantae; Streptophyta; Magnoliopsida; Brassicales; Brassicaceae
Description: ATSL180200
Source: RNAcentral